GAACGGCUUCAUACAGGAGUUGAUGCACAGUUAUCCAGCUCCUAUAUGAUGCCUUUCUUC
RNAcentral lists this microRNA precursor (60 nucleotides) under Callithrix jacchus (white-tufted-ear marmoset). RNAcentral's name for it is "Cja-Mir-337_pre stem-loop". RNAcentral also lists the same sequence under 4 other names. The record is from RNAcentral. Lineage: Eukaryota; Metazoa; Chordata; Mammalia; Primates; Cebidae.